Molecule: ribosomal RNA, 254 nt
Filed under: uncultured bacterium
Lineage: Bacteria
Description: partial 16S ribosomal RNA
Rfam family: Bacterial small subunit ribosomal RNA
Source: RNAcentral
UACGGAGGGUGCGAGCGUUGUCCGGAAUCACUGGGCGUAAAGGGCGCGUAGGCGGCAUGCCAAGCGUGUGGUGAAAGCCCGGGGCUCAACCCCCGGGAGGCGGGUGGAUACUGUCAAGCUCGAGUCCGGAAGAGGCGAGUGGAAUUCCUGGUGUAGCGGUGAAAUGCGCAGAUAUCAGGAGGAACACCAAUGGCGAAGGCAGCUCGCUGGGACGUGACUGACGCUGAGACGCGAAAGCGUGGGGAGCAAACAGG